Molecule: transfer RNA, 75 nt
Filed under: bacterium
Lineage: Bacteria
Description: tRNA-Thr
Rfam family: tRNA
About the family: Transfer RNA (tRNA) molecules are approximately 80 nucleotides in length. Their secondary structure includes four short double-helical elements and three loops (D, anti-codon, and T loops).
Source: RNAcentral
GCCGGCGUAGCUCAGUGGUAGAGCAGCUGAUUCGUAAUCAGCAGGUCGAGGGUUCGACUCCCCCCGCCGGCUCCA